This 440-nucleotide ribosomal RNA is filed under the name uncultured bacterium. RNAcentral describes it as "partial 16S ribosomal RNA". It matches the Rfam family "Bacterial small subunit ribosomal RNA", at positions 338 to 795 of the family's 1533-position model. The record is from RNAcentral.
CCUACGGGUGGCAGCAGUAGGGAAUAUUGCUCAAUGGGGGAAACCCUGAAGCAGCAACGCCGCGUGGAGGAUGAAGGUUUUCGGAUUGUUAACUCUUUUUGUUAGAGAAGAUAAUGACGGUAUCUAACGAAUAAGCACUGGCUAACUCCGUGCCAGCAGCCGUGGUAACACGGAGGGUGCAAGCGUUACUCGGAAUCACUGGGCGUAAAGCGCGCGUAGGCGGGAUAGCAAGUCAGAUGUGAAAUCCUAUGGCUUAACCAUAGAACUGCAGUUGAAACUGUUAGUCUAGAGUAUGGGAGAGGUAGGUGGAAUUCUUGGUGUAGGGGUAAAAUCCGUAGAUAUCAAGAAGAAUACUCAUUGCGAAGGCAACCUGCUAGAACGUAACUGACGCUGAUGCGCGAAAGUGUGGGGAUCAAACAGGAUUAGAUACCCUUGUAGUC